RNAcentral lists this long non-coding RNA (1405 nucleotides) under Sus scrofa (pig). RNAcentral describes it as "lncRNA (ENSSSCG00045011446.1, ENSSSCG00060014643.1)". Lineage: Eukaryota; Metazoa; Chordata; Mammalia; Artiodactyla; Suidae. The record is from RNAcentral.
CAUCCGAGGCCUGCAGCCGGGCGGUAGGGGGAGAAAACGGUGCUUGAUUUCCGGCUUGGAGGACAGGUGACCUGGGACAGGUGGCGAGAAAGGCAGGCCAGGUGUGGGGACGUCGGCCGGGGCAAGUGAGCGUGGGGCUGCUGCUGGGACCCAGCUCUGGUGCCACCGCGGAGCUGACCCAGGCCUCAGGGGAGGAAGGGAGCUGUCCAAGGCCACUGCGGCGGAGGUCACCCGGUCAAAAGCGCUCCGCCUACCACCGAGGACAGCUUUGCCCCCCACCCUUCCCUGUGCUUCACCCCAGUCCUUCCCGCUGUGGGCAGGGCCAAACCGGGCUGGGCUGGGUUCGCUGUCCUGGGCUUUAAGCUCUAGAGCCUUCUGAGGGCCCGCCACUUCCAGGAACACAGGCAGAACCCGGUUGGCUACUUUGCAGGUUUUUUGUUUUUUGGUUUUUGUUUUGCAUAUGGAGGCUCCCAGGCUAGGGGUCCAAUCAGAGCUGUAGCUGCCAGCCUACACCACAGCCACAGCAACGCCAGAUCCAAGCCACAUCUGCGACCAACACCACAGCUCAUGGCAACACCGGAUCCUUAAGCCACUGAGCGAGGCCAGGGAUCAAACCCGCAUGUUCCUAGUCAGAUUCGUUUCUGCUGAGCCACGUUGGAAACUCCAGUGAAGCUAUCCUUUCUUCCCGGGAGGAAGAUGCCAGCCCUUGCUACUUCCAUGAAGAAGCAGCACAGCAGGGGGCCAGGCACCCAGGCUCAGAAGCUGGUCCUGCCAUUUACCAGCCGUUGCCUCACUUCUCGGAGCCUCAGUUUGCUCUUCUGAAAGAGGGGCCAUUCCUGUCCCUGUCUCUUUGGAUUCUCAGCAGGUUGGUCUGUAAAGAGCCGAGAGCAGGUACUUAUGGUGUUUGCAGUCUUUGCUGUGAAGCCUGGGCGUCCUCCUUGGAGCCCCUCCCAUGCCUCCUCCCUGACUUCCUGGUCCAGCCUCCACCCCAGGCAGCGAGCAAUUCCCUCCAGUAGUGCUGUAGGCUCUGGGAGAGGAAAUCAGGAAAUCCUAGCUCAAAGGCUCCAAAGGGCCCUUUAUCCCCAAGGCACUGGGGAGCCAUGGAAGGCUUCUGAGCAAGAGAGAGCUGUGGUCAGAGCCAGCCUUUGUGAAGACGCUUCUGGAAGCCAGUGGAGGAGGGGCCGCCAGCAGGUUCAGUGGCUGAUGGUUUGAAUCCCCACCGUCACAGCAUGUGCUACAAAGCAACGAUCAGCAAACCACAGCCUGUGGGCCAAGUCCAGCCUGUCACUUGUUUUUAUAAAUAAUGCUUUUCUGGGAGUUCCCAUUGUGGCUCAGUGGUUAAGGAACCUGACUGGUAUCCAUGAGGACUCGGGUUGGAUCCCUGGCCUCGCUUAGCGGAUUAAGG